AAUUUAAACUAUUAAUAAGUGGAAGUUCCCUCGUAAGAUGAAGGGUACUCCCGAAAUAAUAUCAUCUCUUAGAGGCAUUUUGGUAUUUUCAGUUCAACCCUCUUUUUCCUUUCUCAAUGACAAGUGUUGUAGCAGUUUCCAGUUGUAUCGUACAACUGGGUUACACUACAGUCCAUUGAUUAUCAAGAGCCUGACUCAAUUUUGCCAUUUCUUCUUCAUCAGUCUUUUAUGUCUUUUUUCCGUUCUCUGCAACUUGAGGCUCGCCUUCUUCUGGUCACUUACAUUUCAAUUGUUUCCUCCCUCUCACCUCCUUUUUACGAGAUUAUUAUUUUUAUUGUCAUGCUUUGAUUGGAUUUUUUGCAGGCGAGCUUUGAUUUUAAUUUUUCCUCUUGGUUUCGGACUUCCCAUGUUUUUUUUUUCCGCUAACACCAUAUGGAGGGAAUUUUGUACAACUUUCUAAUAGUUGGAUGCAUGCAUUUGGAGAGAUGGGGAAAUUUCGAAAGAUGAUUUGGAGAAGUUGCAAUGUUGGGGAGAUUCAUUUAGUGGAGCACGCAAAAUAAUAGAAUGCAAUUUACUAGUGUUAUGACAGGGCGUAACUGUGCAAGAGAAGAAAGCUCUCAGACAAUCACUUGGACAAGGCAUACAGAAUCACGUUUUACAAGACAUGGUUGCAGAUGAGAAUGUUACUCAGUACUGCCCAAUAUUCACAUCGAAAUGUGAAAAAGACUCGAACUUUAUAGAUUGGAAGUGGAAAAACACACCAUGAUUGGAAAUAUUAAAGGAGGCACCCGAAGAUAAUAGUGUAAAUUGGGGGUUGUCGGGUAGGGUAUUUGAGUACGGUUUUGAAGAAUUUAUAAGGUAUGGAAUAUUGCAUUAGUAAUCAAUGAUUAUUAAGCAUAGAAGGCAGUUGGUAUAUGUUGUCAGCACAUCGCAAUUUUUACAUAGUUGACAUUCUGGACCGAAACCGCAAAUGAUUUUAAAACUAAGCAGGUUUAUUUUGAUAUAACGUUGAGAGAAAUUUUUGAUCUUAUCUGAAUGACAAUAAACUUAAUAUGUACUUCUCAUAUGGAAGAGAUUUUGAAUGUUAUUGAUCAUCUUCCAUGUUACAGUGUUGGGUAUAGUAUUGGAUACGGGUAUAUGUGGAACAAAUAUAAGUCCAACUUCCAGCUGUUUGUUUCUUUGUUUUGAUAGGUCUACCAUUAAAGUCAUCCAGAAACAAGAAAGAAACUAUUAGUGCAACGUUAGUCGAUUCUGCUAAAAGAGAUUUCUAGAAGCAU
This is an RNA transcript of Lycium ferocissimum, 1277 nucleotides long. RefSeq lists it as uncharacterized. Lineage: Eukaryota; Viridiplantae; Streptophyta; Magnoliopsida; Solanales; Solanaceae. The record is from RefSeq and is a predicted model, not a curated record. The transcript is spliced from 5 exons.